UAAACAAAGAUUCCAUUCGUUAUUAGUGGAGGUAGUAAUCAUCAAUUAGUGGCCUGAUUUGAUGCGUGAGACGGAGAGCUUACCGAACGCGCGCCCAACCGACGGAUACUUUGGUACGAAUCAGCUAAAGCUACUAGCUAUAGCUCCAUCAUCAUGCAUUUUGCGUUGCAUGCAUGGGUAGUACAUGCCGCUUUAUCUGCAUUUUGGCCCCCGACUCCUCGCCUUCACUCGGAAAAGAAUAAGCACCACUGAAUGAGCGGCCACUUUGUCUGAUUGCUUCAUUGGUCCAUUUGUUGCCCAACAUCUGGCCUUCACUCGAAAAGGGAUGAGCGCUAGUGAAUCGGUGGCAAGGACAGCACGACGGCACUGUGCAGUAUAUGAUGGCCGACAUGCAAGUUCAUCGUCCUUUUCGGAAAAAGAAAAGUGUUUUGGAGAACACAACAUAUCGACAAGUUUGAAAGAAAAGGAGUGACUGGCAACCAGCUACAAUGAUCCCUUCCAAUGAAACAACCUAAGAACGGUGUCCCAAGAAGUUAUUUUUCCUGUCACAAUCAACAUUUUGGCCGAACACCUGGCCCUCACUCAAAAAAAGGACGAGCACAAGUGAAUCAGUGAUAAACUGAGCAUUCAACACGUGUGGGUAAGGACAGCACCGCAGCACUGUGCACAUACGGUCAAUUCACAUGGGUUCUGAUAUCCCGUUUUCCUUUUUUGAGUCAACCCAUCAACGUUUCUUUUUCCACCCCAUGUUGGCAUCUCCAUUGCAGGGGUGCUUGUGUAGACGCUUAGAAAAUAAAAAAUAUUAAUUAUGGAACUGGCGUCCCUGUGAGAGUCUGUUUCUACAACGCAGGGCUCUUUGUUUUAGCGCUAACAGAAUUAGUUUCCUAUGUAAAAAAACUCUAGCGUUGGUUAAAAUUGCUCGUACGUGAAGAAAAGGGAUUAGGGCGUCCGGCGACUGAACUGGCAUCGAUGCCAGCCAAAAAACCUGGCAUCGGAUGGGAUUUAAGGGAAACGGCAAGGAUUUCAUCCCUGGCACCUGGGCUAAGUGCCCCCGUUAUAGAUGCCCUAACUGUUUGGUUAAACAAAUGAUAAAAUGAUUUGACAUUUCCUCCGUAAAACUGUUGACCAAUAUAGAUUUAGUCCCUCAACUUUAAAAUCAGACAACCACACCCUCAAUUUUUCAUACCCGACAAGUUUUGUCUCUCCGCUAAGCCGAAGCAGUAUCCAUGCUGAGGAGCAGGGUAUUCGGGCCGCAGGGAUCGAGCCACAACGACAACGGGGUGAACUCGUCAUCGCAACACUUGUACGUAGGCAGGUAACGAGCAUGAUGUGGUGGUGCGGGUUACCGGCAUGGGCUCGCAUGGCAGGAUCCACUCGUCGUAGCAACCAGGGCGGUCUCAAGUGCGUGAGGCCCAGCGUACACCAUGCAUGUGCUCUUGGCUCCAUAGCGCCCGCCACUGCGAAACGGUGUAGGGUGGAGCGAAGUAAGUGGAAAGAGAAAGAAAUCAAGGGCGACCAUGUUGCUGCUGCUAACUAGACCACACACAAAAAUAGUUGUAGUGUUGGUGUGCCACACAAAACACAAAAAAGAGUUGCCAGGUGGGCCCUACCGGUAAGGGAGACAAAGAGUAUGACCCAAGAAAAUCCGCUAGGACACGUCAGCAUGAAUAAGUGUCAGUCAAGGUUAAAACCGCGCCGCGUCACAAAGCUUGCUAUCGUUUCAGAGAGGGACAAGACUCUUGGCCGACAUCAAAAGUUAAAAGUUGAGGGUGCAACUUGUUCGGUUUAAAGUCAUGAACCAAAUUCGUACUAAUUGAGAAGUUGAGGGAUGAUUAACAUUUUUAUCGCUUUGAUAUUUACAUCCACUUAAACUGCUUUGGUUUGAUAAGUAAAUCAUAUCUGUAAACAAUAAACAAUGUUCAACAUGUGUUUUAAAGAACGAUAAUUGUGUGCGUUUAUAUGACGCGGAGGCUAUGGGUUCAUCAUCCUUUUCAGAAAAAUGUGGUUUGGAGAAUAUGUGCAUUGACAAAUGAUAUAGAACCUUACCGGAAGGACUAGCAACCCUCUACAUUGAUCCCUUCGAUGAUAUGGGGAUCUUCAAUGCAGACCCCCAAAACAGACACUGCAUUUGUUUGUGGUCUGGUCACGACUAGUCCACGGACACGGAUACAGGAGCCGGCAUCCAACCCUGUCUCCUAAAUGUUUGCCCAUGUUUUUUAAGCCCACGACACUCAAAACAAUUAUAGAAAAUAGCACAAUUCAACCAUAAAUAACACGUACAUAUCCCUACUACAACAAUAGCUCAAGUGUAAAUAUUAUAUCCUAGAUAAAAAAAUUGAUAAAAGAAGGGUCUCCCCCUUCUGAUUUCCAUUACUAAGAGAAACCAAGGAUUCACAAGUCACUACACAGGCUAGGAAGGCAAACUAAAGAGCAGCACACACAGCGCAUCUCUUCUGGCAAUACCAAAACAACGACACUUGAGUCAGAAUUGAAACAGGUCAUUCCACACAUUGUUGCCCUAGAGCUUCAUCCAACAAACAGACGAGGUACCAUGUUGGAUGAUGAAUUGCGUCCGGAUAGCUUGGCCAGGACCAAUGCGGGCGUUUUGAGGUUUCGCGUUUGGAGAUGCCUUAUUUGUAGAAGUGCAUGCUCUAGCCAAUGCAACCAAAAUAUUGAUCUGAUGGAAGAGACUAGGCAAUACAAUUAUAUGUCAACACUCCCCCUCACGUGUGGCUCCCUCAGGCCUAAACGUGGAUCGAAGGUGGGUUGCAAUUUAAUUGCGCCAGCUGGGUCUUGAACUCAAGACCUCUUGACUCUGAUACCAUGUAGAAGUGAAUGCUCUAGUCAAUGCAACCAAAAUACCGAUCUGAUGGAAGAGACUAGACAAUACAAUUAUAUGUCAACACCUACCAACAUAAGAUCGACGAGGAUUCAGUUCAACAGUAUUUCAGGUGAAAACAUUGCGUUUACUAUAUUAGAGCAUCUACAACCAUAUAUGGCAAAUCUGACCCCACGAACGCGUCAGAGCAUCUACAACCACAUAUGGCAAAUCUGACCCCUCAAACGCCCGCGGACGCGUUCGCGGGGAGUGACCGGGCACACCUCAAAUUUCAUUUGUUGCAUCGGGACAUCUCAUACUCGAUUCUAUCCAUACAAAGACAUGCAAAAAGAAAUAAAACCUACGUACUACGUCGAGCAUAGCUACUCCUCGUCGGAGAUCACCACGAUCUCCGUGCCCGGCUCCGGCAGCAUGGUCGGUAGCUGCAGCUCCGGCCUCCUCCGCCUCUAUUUCCGCGUCGAGCUCGUCGAAGAGCGCGUCGGCCUCCGCCUGCCGCCGCCGGAGGAACGCCCGGUUGGCCUCCACAUAUGCCUCAUCCUGGAUGGACUCCAGGAUGGCCUGCUGCUCGGCCAUCUCGUCGGACUGGGCGACGAUGAACUCCGCCUCCGCUUGCCCCAUGUUGAAGGCCGGCACCUGCUGGUCCGGCUCCUCCGCCUCCUCCACCUCCAUCGGAGCCAUCUCCUCCUCCUCCUCUCUUCCCCCAGCUCCUCCUCCUCCUCCGGCGAGUCCGGAGGCAGCCCGACAGCGAUGCGGGCGGCGCGCGCCGCUUCCCUCGUCCAGAUCUGCUGCUGGAUCUCGUAGCGGCACUCCAGCGUCAGCAUGGCAUAGUACGUGAUCUUGCUCCGGACCAUUGAGGAGUGCCAGAGCGUGGAUAGAGCGCCGGAGCGGGAGAGGGAGGAGGUG
Aegilops tauschii subsp. strangulata is the source of this 3742-nucleotide long non-coding RNA. RefSeq lists it as uncharacterized. The record is from RefSeq and is a predicted model, not a curated record. Lineage: Eukaryota; Viridiplantae; Streptophyta; Magnoliopsida; Poales; Poaceae.